AGAGAGAGACAUGCGCGCAUAUCAAUAAGCGGAGGAAAAGAAACUAACUAGGAUUCCCUCAGUAACGGCGAGUGAAGCGGGAAGAGCUCAAAUUUGAAAUCUUCGAGGUUCUACCUUGACGAAUUGUAGUUUAAAGAAGUGUUUUCUGUUGGAGUUUUGGUAAAAGUUCUUUGGAAUAGGACAUCAUAGAGGGUGAGAAUCCCGUAUUUGACCAUUAUUUUCAGCUUUGUGAUACACUUUCAAAGAGUCGGAUUGUUUGGGAAUGCAGUCCAAAAUGGGUGGUAAAUUUCAUCUAAAGCUAAAUAUUGGCGAGAGACCGAUAGCGAACAAGUACCGUGAGGGAAAGAUGAAAAGAACUUUGAAAAGAGAGUUAAACAGUACGUGAAAUUGUCAAAAGGGAAGCGUUUGACACCAGUGUUGUUUUCUCGAAAAUCAAUUAAAAAAGGCAGGAUUUUGUGUUGUAUUGACCUUUAUCAGCUUUCUGCACUCUUUUCUUGUCUUUUUUUAAUGCACUUUUCGUUUAACAAGUCAACAUCAAUUUCUUUUGUUGUAAAAGGGUCAUUGGAAGGUGGCUUUCUUUUCGGAGAAAGUGUUUAUAGCCUUUGGCCUCUGCAAUCGGAGAGAUUGAGGUCUGCAGCGUAGAUCCUUCGGGGUUAGAUACAUUUGUGCUAAGUUAUAGCCUUUCAUAGACAACUUGUUGACUAUGAUCAGUCAUGUAGCUUACUCGCUUAUGUUAUUUUACCUACGCUUAGGAUGUUGAUGUGAUACUGCGAGCA
Molecule: ribosomal RNA, 776 nt
Filed under: uncultured Neocallimastigales
Lineage: Eukaryota; Fungi; Neocallimastigomycota; Neocallimastigomycetes; Neocallimastigales
Description: partial large subunit ribosomal RNA
Rfam family: Eukaryotic large subunit ribosomal RNA
Source: RNAcentral